ACGGAGGGUGCAAGCGUUAUUCGGAAUUACUGGGCGUAAAGCGCGUGUAGGCGGUCCUGCAAGUCUGAUGUGAAAGCCCCGGGCUUAACCCGGGAAGUGCAUUGGAAACUGUGGGACUUGAGUACUGGAGAGGAUGGGUGAAUUCCCGGUGUAGAGGUGAAAGUCGUAGAGAUCGAGAGGAAUAGCAGUGGCUUAGGCGCCCAUCUGGACGGUAACUGACGCUGAGACGCGAAAGCGUUGGGAGCAAAAAG
This 251-nucleotide ribosomal RNA is filed under the name uncultured prokaryote. RNAcentral's name for it is "partial 16S rRNA". It matches the Rfam family "Bacterial small subunit ribosomal RNA", at positions 525 to 775 of the family's 1533-position model. The record is from RNAcentral.